Peromyscus maniculatus bairdii (prairie deer mouse) is the source of this 1644-nucleotide non-coding RNA. The record is from RefSeq and is a predicted model, not a curated record. NCBI's taxonomy places the organism in Eukaryota, Metazoa, Chordata, Mammalia, Rodentia, Cricetidae.
AUCUUUGAUAGUAACAUGCCUCCAAACCAGACGGUUUUUAGUCUGGAAGAUGAGAUAGGGCAUGAAGCUGCAGUCCCUCCCCUUGCCUUUUUGAACUCUAGACUGAAAAAAAAAAGGAUUCCAGAGUUUCUACACGUUCACAGGAGCAGGAAUUCACUAACAUCAGACAGACGUAUGAUGCCAGAGCUUCAAAUCCAGCUAAUGUCAACAGGGAAAACUCUCAGGGAACCAGCACCCUUUGAAGAUGUGAUUCCUAUCAAGCCAGAACCAGAUGAUCUCAUCGAUGAAGACCUCCAUUCUGUGCAAGAGAAUUCCUUAUCUCAGCAGAAACCUACAGUGACACAUACAUACGGUUCUUCUCAUCCUUCUACUGAGAUUUAUCAACCAUCUGCAAGUAGAAAUUCAAAUACAGGUACUCAUUUAAAGAGGCUGAGACUUCAGCAGUUGCAAAACAGGUUUCACAGAGAAGCAACUGGAUUACAGAAGGGCCAGUAUAAAACUACACAUUUGUGUGAGCCAGAAGUGCUUAGCAGCAUAGAAGAAACUUACAGUCCCUUCUUCAAAAACAACUUAGAUAAAUUAGUAUUGAGGACAAAAAUUCUCAGGAAAGAACAUUGCCUGCUGUAAGCUUAGUUGUUAAAGUAAAAUAACAACAAAGACAAAAAAAUCAGUCAUGAUGGAGGAGAGUAGGAAGAUACUGGCUAUGUCUCCUAAACAGGAAGCAUGUCCAGUAACAUGUCUGUACCAGUAAAGCCUGAGUUCCACAGAAAUAGACAUUGCCGGUUGCUCCCAGAACUUCUUUUCAAGAAAAAUUACUAGCAGAAAUAGUCCAGGAAACAAAGGGAGAUAAAUCAGAGGUGAAUUAAAAUUACUAGGACAUGGAAUCUAUGGUCCAUGCAGACCAAAGAUCUUUAUUCUGAAGAAGUCAAAGCUGUCUGAGGAAAACCAAACAUGAGUGUGGGAUAAAGUGUAUAGAUACCCUUUGGGUAUCUUUCAGGACACCUUAUGCAGAUACAAAAUAUUGUACAAUCAGAUAAAGCUGCAAGUUCCAAGUUUAUAGUGACACUGGAUGGUGUCCCCAGCCCACCAGGAUACGUGUCAGAUCAAGAGGAGAUGUGCUUUGAAUGAAAUGGGUACACCAAACUGCAGCCUCAAAUGAGGGACUGGGCAGUCUCCCCCCCACAGUGGUGCAGCUGAUGUUCAGAUAGCUUGAUUACCUGAGUGUGGCAGAGAAACCAGAAAAACUUUGGAGCACAGCAAAGUAUUGCCUUGCUUGCAAAACUGAGGAUGAGUAUGUAGAUCACCAUUCCACUUUUGAUUUUUCAAAGCCUUCCCCCAUUGUAAAUUUGCUGGAAAAUGUUUAUUUGUGCAUCCAAAUUAUAAAUAUUGUGUAUUUAUGUGUAGGAAACCAGAUUGCCCUUCACUCACAUGAGUAAAAUUCCCAUACUAGUUCCAUCACCAGUACCAUCUUCUAAAUGGGCAGCUCUUCUGUUACUUCCCAGCUUGUAAGAAAAUGGAAUGUCCCUUCUACCAUCCAAUACACUGCAGGCUUAAUACUCAGUGUGUAGGAACAGACUUUAUCAUCUCAUCAUUAAUUACUGUGCCAUAAGACACGUCUUCAAAUGAAUUUGACUUCAAAACAGU